CGCGUAGGCGGACUUAUAAGUCGAUUGUGAAAUCCCUGGGCUUAACCCGGGAAUUGCAGUCGAAACUGCAAGUCUUGAGUUCUCGAGAGGAUGGUGGAAUUCCUGGAGUAGUAGUGAAAUACGUAGAUAUCAGGAGGAACACCGGAGGCGAAGGCGGCCAUCUGGCGAGACACUGACGCUAAGGCGCGAAAGCGUGGGUAGCAAACA
Molecule: ribosomal RNA, 207 nt
Filed under: uncultured bacterium
Lineage: Bacteria
Description: partial 16S ribosomal RNA
Rfam family: Bacterial small subunit ribosomal RNA
Source: RNAcentral